CCCUCGGCAGCACACACAGCUUGUCUUCUAGGCUACAUCUGGUUCCACUCCUCUGUGGCUGCUGUUCUUGGUGGUCAUCCCACGGAAUAAGUUUUCUCUGUAUUUUGUGGGACAAAGUAACUCCUCAGUUAUGAAGACACGGUGGUUUGCAGGCUCCAACACAGACGUGUUACUCCAGAGAUGAAGCAAGGCUGUAAGCAGCAAUUUAAGGAGACAACAACCCAAAUAUCAGCUGUGUGUCUCCUGUGUCUUAAAAGCAUUAAUAAAAUCUGAACGUAUUCAUUUGGUAAAAAUAAAUUUCUCAAA
Long non-coding RNA from Mesocricetus auratus (golden hamster), 306 nucleotides. RefSeq lists it as uncharacterized. The record is from RefSeq and is a predicted model, not a curated record. NCBI's taxonomy places the organism in Eukaryota, Metazoa, Chordata, Mammalia, Rodentia, Cricetidae. The transcript has 3 exons.